This 425-nucleotide ribosomal RNA is filed under the name uncultured bacterium. RNAcentral's name for it is "partial 16S ribosomal RNA". It matches the Rfam family "Bacterial small subunit ribosomal RNA", at positions 354 to 796 of the family's 1533-position model. The record is from RNAcentral.
GUGGGGAAUAUUGGGCAAUGGGGGAAACCCUGACCCAGCAACGCCGCGUGAAGGAAGAAGGUUUUCGGAUCGUAAACUUCUAUCCUUGGUGAAGAUAAUGACGGUAGCCAAGAAGGAAGCCCCGGCUAACUACGUGCCAGCAGCCGCGGUAAUACGUAGGGGGCAAGCGUUGUCCGGAAUGAUUGGGCGUAAAGGGCGCGUAGGCGGCCUGGUAAGUCUGGAGUGAAAGUCCUGCUUUUAAGGUGGGAAUUGCUUUGGAUACUGUCGGGCUUGAGUGCAGGAGAGGUAAGCGGAAUUCCCGGUGUAGCGGUGAAAUGCGUAGAGAUCGGGAGGAACACCAGUGGCGAAGGCGGCUUACUGGACUGUAACUGACGCUGAGGCGCGAAAGCGUGGGGAGCAAACAGGAUUAGAAACCCUGGUAGUCC